Molecule: long non-coding RNA, 251 nt
Filed under: Elaeis guineensis (African oil palm)
Lineage: Eukaryota; Viridiplantae; Streptophyta; Magnoliopsida; Arecales; Arecaceae
Description: long non-coding RNA (EGUI_LNC023881)
Source: RNAcentral
GAGCUGAACUCUGACAGAUUCAUAUUCUGGAUUCAGACCAUAUAGAAAGUCCUGGACCCGUUCUUCUUCUAAAUAUUUCUGAAAUCCAUCAACAUUGAUGGAGCAUUAUGGAGCAAAAGUUCUAUAAUGAUCAGCUUCGGACCAAAGACGUUUCAACUCGGUGGCAUAUUCAGUGAUAGAUAAAUCUCCCUGACGAAGCUGACGUAAUUGAGAACGGAUCUCAAAUGCUUGAGCAGAAUUCUGCUUCUGUG